CCUUGACAUCUUGAAGGCAGAGAUGUCCUGUGGUCAUGCAGUCACCCCAGAGUCACUGACCAGAUGGUGUAAAAGCCUACUUGGCCAGGGGCAGUAAAAGUUCAUUUGUCCUGCACUCAAGGGCAAUCAGAAGUGUGGUGUGGUGUGGUCUUAUCAGGAAGUGCGUAGGCUGGCUGCUCUGACUGCCGAGGAAAUACAGUAUUUUGAGGAGACCAUUGCAACCUUGGCUUCCCCCAAAUACUGUGAAACUAAAUCUAAAAGUGCCCAGGCUGCAAGUCACUGUUACUGAGACAGGACACAUCCAGCUUAAGAGUCCAUUGCACGGUAUGCUCUGAAGACAAUGGCCAGACCUACCAGUUCUGCUGGCAAUGUCAGAGGCAGUGGAAAAGUCCAGGGCUGGGCUCUGACUGCUGUGGCAACACUGGCUGUUCAAACCAGAAGCUACAGCUGCUGUGGAAAUGUCCAACCGUCUCCUUGUCCCGGGUACAGGGGGUCACCGACUGCCCGUCUAUACGUGCCUGUCCCACCUGUAGCAUACUAUUGGAGCAUGACAAGACCGGUUGUAAGAAUUUAUUCUGUCUGCGUUGCAAGAAAGAGUUCUGUUUUAUUUGCCUUAAGCUCAAAUCUGAGUGCAUGAAGACCAGUUCACCAUACAGAGCCUGCUCUGCUGGUGUUGCCCCCAGGCAGACCUCUAUACCCACCUGGAGUGGUAAUUAAAGACUUUAGGCAUAUACAGUAUGUUUCACUUUCCCCUUUAUGUGCAAUCUGAUCCAAUACACUUUUCACACGAUACUGUAUGUCAAAGUAUCAAUUCGAUAUAUUUUUGAGUGCAUGUUAAGAAUUAUGAAUAAGGUAAUUUGUAUACAUUUAAGUCAUUUAGCAGACACUCUUA
Molecule: long non-coding RNA, 892 nt
Organism: Coregonus clupeaformis (lake whitefish)
Lineage: Eukaryota; Metazoa; Chordata; Actinopteri; Salmoniformes; Salmonidae
Exons: 3
Source: RefSeq, a predicted model, not a curated record